UGGAAUUUUGACAUACUGCUCAAAAGAAUACUGAAGAGGGUACUGCUAUUAUUGCAUUAGAAAUCUUUAUGUGGGAAAAAACAGGAUGGAUGCUACUGAAAUUAGCACUAGAGUUUGUGCAGCAUGAUGCUCACCUGUUCAUAUCCCAAGGAAAUGCUACAAGCAAAGCCCUGCUCAUUUUUUACCCUCACCAUUUCUUCCUGCAUCAACCAAACAAUUGAAAACAGCAUCUAUUGAAUGUUACAACCUUCCCCCCCAUGCCCCCCAACACUUGAAUGUUCUUAACAUCUACAAUUAUAUUUGAAUUCCUGCCUUUA
Cyanistes caeruleus (blue tit) is the source of this 317-nucleotide long non-coding RNA. RefSeq lists it as uncharacterized. The record is from RefSeq and is a predicted model, not a curated record. NCBI's taxonomy places the organism in Eukaryota, Metazoa, Chordata, Aves, Passeriformes, Paridae.